UACGGGGGGGGCAAGCGUUGUUCGGAAUUACUGGGCGUAAAGGGCGCGUAGGCGGUUCGAUAAGUCAGCUGUGAAAACCAUGGGCUUAACUCAUGGCCUGCAGUUGAGACUGUCGGGCUGGAGUGUGGGAGAGGAGAGUGGAAUUCCUGGUGUAGCGGUGAAAUGCGUAGAUAUCAGGAGGAACACCGGUGGCGAAGGCGGCUCUCUGGACCACAACUGACGCUGAGGCGCGAAGGCUAGGGGAGCAAACAGG
This 253-nucleotide ribosomal RNA is filed under the name uncultured bacterium. Its description in RNAcentral is "partial 16S ribosomal RNA". It matches the Rfam family "Bacterial small subunit ribosomal RNA", at positions 524 to 776 of the family's 1533-position model. The record is from RNAcentral.